Molecule: long non-coding RNA, 373 nt
Filed under: Cucumis sativus (cucumber)
Lineage: Eukaryota; Viridiplantae; Streptophyta; Magnoliopsida; Cucurbitales; Cucurbitaceae
Description: long non-coding RNA (CSAT_LNC000385)
Source: RNAcentral
AAACAUAUCUUUUAACUUCUUUAUAAAUCCUUCUAAUAUAAACUAUAUAAUACUCUAAAAAAACUUACAAAGAGUGUUACACUUGCCUUAGUUCCCUUGUUUAGGGUGAUCCCAUCACAAAGUUGUUUAUAAAGCUUAGCAUAGGUAGGCCGUUUAUAAAGCUUAGCAUAGGUAGGCCAAUGCACCACGAUAGUUAGAGUUCUUGGCAAAAUAUAAGUCAGUCAAUGACCAUAACUCUCUUGUACUUGCGAGUUCUCUCUUGCUUUUGUCUCUAUGCAAACCAUACUUGAGGAGGUUAAUUUGGAUUAUUAAGAGAUCGGAGAUGUGGAUGAAGAUGAGAGUGGUGUGAGGAACACAAACACACAUAUAUAUA